UUUUCCUUGUACUCCU
This 16-nucleotide small RNA is filed under the name Arabidopsis thaliana (thale cress). RNAcentral describes it as "ATSL121330". Lineage: Eukaryota; Viridiplantae; Streptophyta; Magnoliopsida; Brassicales; Brassicaceae. The record is from RNAcentral.